RNAcentral lists this ribosomal RNA (497 nucleotides) under uncultured bacterium. RNAcentral's name for it is "partial 16S ribosomal RNA". It matches the Rfam family "Bacterial small subunit ribosomal RNA", at positions 28 to 507 of the family's 1533-position model. The record is from RNAcentral.
GAUGAACGCUGGCGGCGUGCCUAAUACAUGCAAGUCGAGCGAACAGACGAGGAGCUUGCUCCUCUGACGUUAGCGGCGGACGGGUGGGUAACACGUGGAUAACCUACCUAUAAGACUGGGAUAACUUCGGGAAACCGGAGCUAAUACCGGAUAAUAUAUUGAACCGCAUGGUUCAAUAGUGAAAGACGGUUUUGCUGUCACUUAUAGAUGGAUCCGCGCCGCAUUAGCUAGUUGGUAAGGUAACGGCUUACCAAGGCAACGAUGCGUAGCCGACCUGAGAGGGUGAUGGGGCAGACUGGAGCAGCGAAGCGGACCGGACUCCUACGGGAGGCAGCAGGAGGGAUUAUUCCGCGAUGGUGUAAAGACUGAAGGAGCAACUCCGCGUGAGAGAUGAAGGUCUUCGGAUACUAAAACUCUGUUAUUAGGGAAGAACAAAUGUGCAAGUAACUAUGCACGUCUUGACGGUACCUAAUCAGAAAGACACGGCUAACUACGUG